Long non-coding RNA from Lagopus leucura (white-tailed ptarmigan), 555 nucleotides. RefSeq lists it as uncharacterized. NCBI's taxonomy places the organism in Eukaryota, Metazoa, Chordata, Aves, Galliformes, Phasianidae. The record is from RefSeq and is a predicted model, not a curated record. The transcript is spliced from 3 exons.
GAUACAGUAGACCCUCAUCCGUCAUUUGGCUGUAUGCAAGGAGAUGCUUGUGAUAAAUCAAUCUGAGAGGAAGCGUGACCCCUCAAAGUAGGGCUACUGCUGAAGAGGAUAUGGACCCGCAGGCUGUCAUGCAAGGAAGGAUAUUAGUGCAGACUCGGUCAAGAGAGAAAGCCAUACCACCAUGCUCAGGCUUGGCUCUGCUGCAACCGCUUCUCGUGCUCCAGUGCUGCCUUGCUGACUCUUGGAUGCUGCCUGUGCAAGGCCCAGCGCUGCCUUGCCUGCUUGGUGCGGGUUAUCAGUGGUCAGUUCCUGUUUCAGCAAAUAGCUCUGGUGGAAAAGGACUGAUCUGCAGAAGCAGCCACCACAGCAGGAUAUUCCAAAGCCAGGAUCCUCUGUGAGCUCUGGGCUUUCAUGUGAUGUGCACUACGGAUCCAACGCUGGUCCAGGUCUUCUGCUGCACGACUACACGCAGUGCUGCUGGCUUCAGCUCCAUGUUCCUGCUUUGGGAGAGCACGGAGCCUGCAUCUCUGCACCCACGGACACUGCUUCUGUCAG